GUGUUCCAGUUAUGGAAGAUAGCCAGAGAAAACACCUGGAGCUGAGAGAUGGGGAGUUUCUUGUUCGUGGAAUGGCCAGGAAGCAAGUGUAACUGGAGUGAAGAGUGUGUAGCUGAAGUAACAUGUAAGAAGACUGGAAAGGUGCAGGGAAGUAUCAAAACAUUAAUGAACCCGGGCCUGUUGCUGUUAUGACCUGUCUGAAGCCUGGACGAUAUGAUGAAGAGAAUACUGAACCCAGGAGAGAGAUCUCAGCUGUGUUCCUGGACUUCACUGGUCUUCUGGUCUUGGACAAGGAAAGAGAUCUGAACACCAGACAAGCUCAGCAUGUUUGUGAAGUCAGGCAACAGGUAUGUUGGUGAUAUCCACUGUAUCAGCAUGUCGUAGAAGAAACCCAGCAGCAAGUAACACCUUCAGCUUGAUGAAGAAGCAGCAAACAGCAUUUUGGAAGAGAAGAAUAGCAGCCUGUGAAGGCUGAAUAGAAUAACGUAAGAUAUAGCUAGUUGCUGGGAGAUAAAGCUCUGAGACCUAUUCUAGCUGAUAUACAGCCCUAGGGUUGGGAGUUGUGCAGGGAAUAUCCCAUCUCCCACCAGCA
This is a non-coding RNA of Phascolarctos cinereus (koala), 592 nucleotides long. NCBI's taxonomy places the organism in Eukaryota, Metazoa, Chordata, Mammalia, Diprotodontia, Phascolarctidae. The record is from RefSeq and is a predicted model, not a curated record.